AAGCCAGCGAUCGUGGCUCCGCGCAGCCACGUUCCACCUCUCACGCAACAGCCGUCACCCGUCCUGUUCGCAUGCCGGGAUAUCGCUCGUCUCGAGGAAACCGACGACUCCAAUUCGAGCCUAGCCCCAGGCACCCACGCGCGUGCUCUGCGAUGCCGACCCAGCGAAGCCUCGCGACGAUCGUCCCUGGAAGUCCUCCGGCGUCCGUUCCUGAUGUCCACGCAAUCGCCAAGGCGGCCAUCUCCCUCUCGUCCAGCAUACCCGAGCGGCCAUAUCCCAUGUGCGGCGUACCAGGCCUGCUCGAAGCCCUCCAAAAUCCUUUCAUGUAAUCUCUCGUCAUGUGAUUAUUCCUGCACCCUCCAGCUUCUUCAUGUGGCUAGCACAGUAGAUCGCGAUUUGUUUCCAAGCUUCGAGGAAUCGACGAUCAAGCGUUGGCGACCAAGUGAUCUGGCUCUUCGAGUUCCACGAGGUUGAAGACCCUGAGCAUCUGUUUAGUGAAGGCAAGUGUCCUUUGACCUAUUAUGUCCCAUUUACUUUAUAAUUCAUCAACCCGCAUACCAUGAUCAACCUAAGGAUUGACUAGCUUUGUAUUUACCUUGUCCUUGCUUACCUUUUGGGUUAUUAUGGUUAGCAUUUUGCUAUUGCCUUAACUUAAUCAAUGAACAUGAUGUGACUAUUUAUGAUACGAUACUGUUAUCCUGAUUAUGUUGAUGAUCUUGUGAUACUCUAGGGGGCUCAGGCUGUUUCCUAAGUACCUCUCUGCAAGGACCUGUUCGUUGAGAGACCACCCGGGAUAACAGUGCAACCAUGAGGGUGGAAUGGGGUGCCCUUAGCUAAUUAAUUAGAGGAACUAGAAGUGUAGUUGCUUCGCCGUCGUGCCGUCAAUGGGGUCCAGGCACAGUGCUUGCUCUACCGAGGCUGGGUGCCGAGGUUCUUUCGUUUUGCUUUUUAGUCGCCCUCCUGCGGGGAGAGGUACUGUGUUUAUCAAACUGGAGAAACCUAACGGGCAGCUAUGACCUCUAGGGAAUCUUUGUAAAGGCUUCGUAGUGAAUCCCUGGCCAUUCACCUUGGGAGUGAAUAAGGGUCUUGCAAGCCCGGGCUAGAGAGGGAAUCACGGCUCAUGGGUAAAGUGUGCGACCUCUGCAGAGGGUAGUGAAACUGGUAUAUCAGCCGUGCUCACGGUUAUGAGCGGCCUUGGGAUCCUCUUUGAUUAGAGAUACAACUGGUUUGAGACCCAAUGGUUCUAUUAAUGUUUUUGGUUCGAUGAUGAUCAUGAUGUUCCUCGAGGAGGAAGCUGUACACGGGUUGGCUAUUACUAAAACUUGGCUUCCACUAAUAAUAAAUACCUGACCAACUAAAAGCAACUGCUUGAGCUUAACUCCACAUAAAGCUAGUCCACCUCAGCCAAACAGGACAUUUGCUGAGUACGUUGAUGUGUACUCACCCUUGCUUUCACAAAACACCAGGUUGCCUUUGGUGCAAUCUAUGCUCAGGUAAAGAAGGUGUCGAGGCGGAUCUCCAGGAGUUCCAGGUCUUCGACGAGUCCGAGGAUUAGGCUAGCGACCUCCCCCAGUCAGCUGCCUGUGGUGGGUUGUUUACGUUGGCUACGUUUCGAUUCUGUGUACUUUGAUUUAUAUUAUGUAAAUGGCUCCAGUCUGUAAUAUUAUUACUUACUCUUUAUUGUAAUUCGAAGCAUUGUGCUAUGAUGAGUCAU
RNA transcript from Zea mays, 1714 nucleotides. RefSeq lists it as uncharacterized. The record is from RefSeq and is a predicted model, not a curated record. The transcript is spliced from 3 exons. Lineage: Eukaryota; Viridiplantae; Streptophyta; Magnoliopsida; Poales; Poaceae.